GGGCGGGUAGCUCAGCGGCUAGAGCGUUCGCCUUACACGCGAAAUGUCCCGGGUUCGAAUCCCGGCCUGCCCA
Molecule: transfer RNA, 73 nt
Filed under: Phycisphaerales bacterium
Lineage: Bacteria; Pseudomonadati; Planctomycetota; Phycisphaerae; Phycisphaerales
Also listed under: 1 other name
Description: tRNA-Val
Rfam family: tRNA
About the family: Transfer RNA (tRNA) molecules are approximately 80 nucleotides in length.
Source: RNAcentral